This 391-nucleotide long non-coding RNA is filed under the name Nicotiana benthamiana. Its description in RNAcentral is "long non-coding RNA (NBEN_LNC035910)". The record is from RNAcentral. Lineage: Eukaryota; Viridiplantae; Streptophyta; Magnoliopsida; Solanales; Solanaceae.
AGAAUGUGAACUCUGAAGAUGUGGAUUACUUGCUUAAUGAACCAAUUGAAACUGCAACUGAUACCCUUCAAUUCAAUGAUGGAGCAUUCCUUGAAGCUAGUGAUCUAUCAAGACCCAUUGAUACAUCAAGUUUUGACAUGCUUGAGGAGUACCUUACAUUCUUUGAUGCAGACGAUGACUUCCAGAAUAUGGGUUUCGAUCCACUGAUGAUGACUGGAGGUGAUGAUCAUGUUUCUGACUUAGCAUCUCUGGCUGGUCAAGUUUUGACAUGCUUGAGGAGUACCUUUCAUUCUUUGAUGCAGACGAUGACUUCCAGAAUAUGGGUUUCAAUCCACCAAUGAUGAUUGGAGGUGAUGAUCAUGUUUCUGACUUAGCAUCUCUGGCUGACAAG